Long non-coding RNA from Hyla sarda, 2522 nucleotides. RefSeq lists it as uncharacterized. The transcript is spliced from 3 exons. The record is from RefSeq and is a predicted model, not a curated record. Lineage: Eukaryota; Metazoa; Chordata; Amphibia; Anura; Hylidae.
GGGAAUCCCUCGAAAAAAAUUUUUUCCGUGGGGAACCCCUAUCGAAGUUGAUGAGCACUGUAAUCUGUGGGCCAUAACCCAUUAAGGUGGGGUGAUAACCAUGUGUAGAUUGAGUUCCCACGCUUUCAUCGCAUGGGAGUCCCUUGAAGAUGCCAAAGGUCACAUGAGUAUAAUACUAAUAACUGAUGAUAUCAAGGCUGGAUGGAAACUCUGAGGGCUAGAGGAGCAUUUGCAAGACAACAAGAACAAAGUCCCAAUAUGGGCUGGUUCCACCAACAAUGUGGCACAAGCUUACGGAUUUAUUCAGACUUCGUCCACCAGGAGUAGAAAGCAGGAGUGUUGCCUGUUGGUAGGAGCUCCAGAAAGGCUGGCAGAACAAGAAAACUUGGCAUUGGCUGAGAAACAGACAUGCUGGCAAGUGGGCAAGAAAUAUAAGAACAGCGGUCUGUAAAUGGAGGUCACAAAACUAUGUACUGCAAGGCUAAGUAAUGUUGUAGUGUAAUGGAGCCCAGCAGUUCAGAAAAGAGUCAAUAGGUGGCAGCAGAGUAUUACAAUUAUAGUACUAACUAGAGCUGUAUGGUAUGUCCUGAAGUGGGUGCGUUCACACGGAGUAAUUCAAGAGGAAUUUACUCGAGUAAUCCCUCUUGAAUUCUCCGCUCCAAAUUAAUGCACGUCCCCUCUGCCCAUUGACUUUAUGUUAUUUCUGCUGUCCUGUUCACACUGCGGAAAUUCUGCUAGCAGAAUUCCGACGCUGAAUUCCGUUCCGCUUGAAGAAAGAGCAUGUUCAUUCUUCAAGUGGAAUCCGCUAGCAGAAAUCAAUUGAAGUCAAUGGUAAAAAAAAAUUCCGCCCGACAUCGUUUUCGUGCGGAAUUCACGCGCAAUUCGCUGGCAAUUUGCGUGAAAUUCGAGCGCAAUUUGUGCGGAAAUGGCUGAAAAACCCUUCACUUUUUUCUCUCCCAUGUCCAUGCGCAAUUCCGUGUGUAUUUCUGUGUGCAAUUCUGCGCAAAUUGCGCGCGAAUUGCGCAUGAAUUUCCCGCAAAUUUCAUGCAAAAAUACAAUUAUUUUUUUCGCCCGUAAAUUUUUCAGAGUGAAUUACUCUUCAUUUACUCCGUGUGAACGCACCCUAACAGUGUCCAAAUGCAUAAUGUCUCCUCAAUGAACAAAAUAUAGGCUCACCACCCCUCUAGUGCAGGAAAGUCCUGUGGGCCACCAGUCACAAUAUGAAGGAGCCGAGAGAAGGCAGGAGAGGGAGAAACACUGGGUUUAUUGAGGAAGAGCCCCUGGUAGUCAGAAGUUUUGCUACCACAGUGAGGAAGGUCCCAGAUGUCUGCAGCGGACCUUGAUGAUUCACAGUAGGGCUCGGCAGGUGAACAUGGCGAUGUAGGGGUGGCCGUGGCUUCACUGUAGGAGAUAGGCCAACAGAAAAUAUAAUUAGGAGACCAAGAGACCCCACAAUCUAGUGUUGGGGAGAUGGCUAGGGGUAGAAAGAUCACAAUGUGCCAAAAAAAAGUGUCUGUGCCAGAGAGCUCAUUCUGCAUCAUUGGCUGCCAGGCUCUACCCAUAAUUUUAUUUUAUAUUAGUAAAUGACCUAUACAACAGGGGCAAAUAAAACAAAGCUCUGUAGUUCACAUCCUGUUCCUUCAUUUUUGAAGGUGUGUAACACUAAGUAGUUCUUAAUAAUCCUAAUAAACAAAUGAAUACCUCAAAGUCAAGCUACUUAAAAGAUAAAUGAAAGAUUUAUUGCAGUAUAAAAGUAGAAAAUAUAAGGUAAAGGUUUACAGCAGGAAGUAUAGAGUUCCAGGAACCAGCAAAGACAGAUGAAAAACUCAGAUGAAUAUGACCAUCCUAGCAUUACAAUAUAUCAGAAGACACAGGAGAAUAGGCUUUGCUUCAGUCAGAUUUGGGAGCAAGUAUUGGGUGGGACGGUUCUCCUAGAUUAUUAAUAUCAGUUAUUUCUGUCCACAUAUCUAUUUCCGUCCACAUGUCAAUGCUUUGUGCCACCCAGGAAAAAAAUUUAAUUCUAACCAUGUGAUACAGGUAUCCUACUUGUCUUCACAUUAUUUUUCCCACAGUACUGGAUGUUUGUUGAAGCUGUAAAACUGAAAUUGGCACUGUGGUAAACAUUUGGUGCUCUUCACGGAUAAGGAUGGAGAUUUAUCAUUAAAUUUAGAGCUCUUUUCUUACAUUUGGUGCCUCAUGUUAUAUGGGUAGUGUGUAUAUUUAAGGGACUGUUAGGAAUCGGAUAGCUGGAUGUGGAUCCUCUGUGUCAGCGAGGGAUUGGCGUGGACCGCGUCGGUGGACCGGUUCUAGGGUUGCUACUGGUUUUCACCAGAGCCUGCCGCAAAGCGGGAUGGUCUUGCUGCGGCGGUAGCAACCAGGUCGUAUCCACCGGCAACGGCUCAACCUCGCUGACUGCUGAGAAGGCGUGGGACAGAAGGACUAGGCAGAAGCAAGGUCAGACGUAGCAGAAGGUCGGGGCAGGCGGCAAGGUUCGUAGUCAAUGAGGAUAGCAGGAGAUCUGG